RNAcentral lists this ribosomal RNA (302 nucleotides) under uncultured bacterium. RNAcentral's name for it is "partial 16S ribosomal RNA". It matches the Rfam family "Bacterial small subunit ribosomal RNA", at positions 508 to 807 of the family's 1533-position model. The record is from RNAcentral.
GCAGCAGCCGCGGUAAUACGUAGGGUGCGAGCGUUGUCCGGAAUUACUGGGCGUAAAGAGCUCGUAGGCGGUUUGUCGCGUCGUCUGUGAAAUUCUGCAGCUUAACUGUAGGCGUGCAGGCGAUACGGGCAGACUUGAGUACUACAGGGGAGACUGGAAUUCCUGGUGUAGCGGUGAAAUGCGCAGAUAUCAGGAGGAACACCGGUGGCGAAGGCGGGUCUCUGGGUAGUAACUGACGCUGAGGAGCGAAAGCGUGGGUAGCGAACAGGAUUAGAUACCCCAGUAGUCCCUGUCUCUUAUAC